CGGAAGAGGGGUUUUGGAAAGUGAAUAACUAAGGGGUGGAGGGUUGCAGCGAGGGACAACCAUGGAAGAAGAUCAACCAGGAGAGAGAGGGGGCAGGAAAAAAAGGUGAUGCAGGAGGAUUGAUAGAUAAGGAAAAGGACCACCUUAUUUUAGUUAGAAUCAAAAGUCACAUGACCUUCUUCUAUUCGAUAAGUUUUUCAUGUUAUUAUGUGCACGAAUUUCAUAUGUUUAUUUACUGAUUAGUCAUGAGACACUCAGUAGGCACAUUAUGAGCUGAGUUCAGGUGAUCUAAUAGGUAUAAAACUCAAUUUCGGUCUUUAUGUUACUAUUGUUGCCAAUCCAAUAACGAGGGUGGAGGUGGGUUGCAAGUUGCAACAAUAACGACCGUGAAAAAAGAGGCAACCAGGGUAGGAGGAAAGGGGCCUGGGGAGACGGGCGUCGCAUUUGAGAACACUCUGCGACUUUUUUCCUCAAAAACCC
RNAcentral lists this long non-coding RNA (480 nucleotides) under Capsicum annuum. RNAcentral describes it as "long non-coding RNA (CANN_LNC012158)". The record is from RNAcentral. Lineage: Eukaryota; Viridiplantae; Streptophyta; Magnoliopsida; Solanales; Solanaceae.